This 268-nucleotide ribosomal RNA is filed under the name uncultured bacterium. Its description in RNAcentral is "partial 16S ribosomal RNA". It matches the Rfam family "Bacterial small subunit ribosomal RNA", at positions 57 to 305 of the family's 1533-position model. The record is from RNAcentral.
GCAAGUCGAACGAGAAAUCUUGGUUUCGGCCGGGAUAGUAAAGUGGCGCACGGGUGCGUAACGCGUGGAUAAUCUACCCUUGAAUCUGGGUUAACAUUGCGAAAGCGAUGCUAAUACCGGAUGAUAUUCAUCUUUCUGCGGUAGGAUGAAUCAAAGACGGCCGCUUCUUGAAAGCCGUUGGUUGGGGAUGAGUCCGCGUACCAUUAGCUAGUUGGUGGGGUAAUGGCCCACCAAGGCUUCGAUGGUUAGCUGGUCUGAGAGGAUGAUC